This 816-nucleotide ribosomal RNA is filed under the name Gibellula sp. RNAcentral describes it as "partial large subunit ribosomal RNA". Lineage: Eukaryota; Fungi; Ascomycota; Sordariomycetes; Hypocreales; Cordycipitaceae. The record is from RNAcentral.
CAGUAACGGCGAGUGAAGCGGCAGCAGCUCAGAUUUGAAAUCUGGUCCUCCUAGCGGGGGCCCGAGUUGUAGUCUGCAGAGGAUGCCCUGGGCCAGGCGCCUUCCGAGUUCCCUGGAACGGGACGCCACAGAGGGUGAGAGCCCCGUCUGGUCGGACGCCAUGCCCAUGUAGGGCUCCUUCGACGAGUCGAGUAGUUUGGGAAUGCUGCUCAAAGUGGGAGGUAUAUGUCUUCUAAAGCUAAAUACAVGCCAGAGACCGAUAGCGCACAAGUAGAGUGAUCGAAAGAUGAAAAGCACUUUGGAAAGAGGGUUAAAUAGCACGUGAAAUUGCUGAAAGGGAAGCGCCCGCGACCAGACUUGGGCUCCGGGUCCACGGAGUGUUAUGCACUCUGUGACCUUGGGCCCAGGCCAGCAUCKGCUCGGCGCGGGGGAUAAAGGCGGCGGGAACGUGGCUCCUUCGGGAGUGCUUAUAGCCCGCCGCGUCAUGCCCUGUGCCGGGCCGAGGAACGCGCACCGCAAGGAUGCUGGCGUAAUGGUCGUCGGCGACCCGUCUUGAAACACGGACCAAGGAGUCGUCCUCGUAUGCGAGUGUUGGGGUGUCAAACCCCUGCGCGAAGUGAAAGCGAACGCAGGUGAGAGCUUUUUAUUAAGCGCAUUAUCGACCGAUCCUGAUGUUCUCGGAUGGAUUUGAGUAAGAGCAUACGGGGCCGGACCCGAAAGAAGGUGAACUAUGCCUGCGUAGGGUGAAGCCAGAGGAAACUCUGGUGGAGGCUCGCAGCGGUUCUGACGUGCGAAUCGAUCGUCAAACGUGGGCAU